This 545-nucleotide ribosomal RNA is filed under the name uncultured archaeon. Its description in RNAcentral is "bacterial SSU rRNA". It matches the Rfam family "Archaeal small subunit ribosomal RNA", at positions 327 to 872 of the family's 1478-position model. The record is from RNAcentral.
CGGGUGCACCAGGCGCGAAAACUUUACAAUGCCGGCAACGGCGAUAAGGGAACCUCGAGUGCCAGGUUACAAAUCUGGCUGUCGUGAUGCCUAAAAAGCAUUGCAUAGCAAGGGCCGGGCAAGACCGGUGCCAGCCGCCGCGGUAACACCGGCGGCUCGAGUGGUAACCGUUAUUAUUGGGUCUAAAGGGUCUGUAGCCGGCCGGGUAAGUCUCUUGGGAAAUCUGGCAGCUUAACUGUCAGGCUUUCAGGAGAUACUGCCUGGCUCGAGGCCGGGAGAGGUGAGAGGUACUUCAGGGGUAGGGGUGAAAUCUUGUAAUCCUUGAAGGACCACCAGUGGCGAAGGCGUCUCACCAGAACGGACCUGACGGCAAGGGACGAAAGCUAGGGGCACGAACCGGAUUAGAUACCCGGGUAGUCCUAGCCGUAAACGAUACUCGCUAGGUGUCGGCCACGGUGCGACCGUGGUCGGUGCCGUAGGGAAGCCGUGAAGCGAGCCACCUGGGAAGUACGGCCGCAAGGCUGAAACUUAAAGGAAUUGGCGGG